RNAcentral lists this ribosomal RNA (701 nucleotides) under uncultured bacterium. RNAcentral's name for it is "bacterial SSU rRNA". It matches the Rfam family "Bacterial small subunit ribosomal RNA", at positions 139 to 851 of the family's 1533-position model. The record is from RNAcentral.
CGGGAUACCCGAGGGAAACUUCGGUUAAUACGGUAUAAGACCACACUACCGCAUGGUAGAGGGGUAAAAGGGGCAACCUGGUAUGAGAUGGACUCGCGUCGCAUUAGCUAGUUGGUGAGGUAACGGCCCACCAAGGCGACGAUGCGUAGCCGACCUGAGAGGGUGAUCGGCCACAUUGGGACUGAGAUACGGCCCAGACUUCUACGGGAGGCAGCAGUGGGGAAUAUUGGGCAAUGGAGGAAACUCUGACCCAGCAAUGCCGCGUGAAUGAAGAAGGUCUUCGGAUUGUAAAGUUCUUUAGUCAGGGAAGGAGUCAAUGACGGUACCUGAAGAAUAAGCUCCGGCUAACUACGUGCCAGCAGCCGCGGUAAUACGUAGGGAGCAAGCGUUGUUCGGAAUGACUGGGCGUAAAGGGUGCGUAGGCGGUUGUACAAGUUAGAAGUGAAAUACCCAGGGCUUAACUCGGGUGCUGCUUCUAAAACUGUAUGACUUGAGUGCAGUAGAGGUUAGUGGAAUUCCUAGUGUAGCGGUGGAAUGCGUAGAUAUUAGGAGGAACACCAGAGGCGAAGGCGGCUAACUGGACUGCAACUGACGCUGAGGCACGAAAGUGUGGGGAGCAAACAGGAUUAGAUACCCUGGUAGUCCACACUGUAAACGAUGGAUACUAGAUGUAGGAGGUAUCGACUCCUUCUGCGUCGCAG